UGAUAGGCAUUGGGAAGGCUAAGGAG
This 26-nucleotide non-coding RNA is filed under the name Mus musculus (house mouse). Lineage: Eukaryota; Metazoa; Chordata; Mammalia; Rodentia; Muridae. The record is from RNAcentral.